UCUCCAUUUCACGCACUCUCUCACCGGUCAGAGAAGCGAGAGAGAGUGUUCGAAAUGAAGAGA
Molecule: microRNA precursor, 63 nt
Filed under: Pristionchus pacificus
Lineage: Eukaryota; Metazoa; Nematoda; Chromadorea; Rhabditida; Neodiplogasteridae
Description: mir-8364 microRNA precursor family
Rfam family: mir-8364 microRNA precursor family
Source: Rfam by way of RNAcentral